AGAAAUGAAACAAGAUUUGAAGACUAUACAAGGUUUCUAGGCUAAUUGGGUAUUUUUGAACACCAUGGUGAAGUCAAAAAUAUAAAAAAGUAGUUUUACUAGUAAAAAAUAGGAGGACCAGCAGCUAGUAUAGUCCUUGUAGGAAGAGAGGUGCACAAUUCCCAUAUGGAUUGUAGCACCUUGAAUAUAGGUAGAAAGAUA
This 201-nucleotide long non-coding RNA is filed under the name Physcomitrium patens. Its description in RNAcentral is "long non-coding RNA (PPAT_LNC003786)". Lineage: Eukaryota; Viridiplantae; Streptophyta; Bryopsida; Funariales; Funariaceae. The record is from RNAcentral.